Long non-coding RNA from Carassius gibelio (silver crucian carp), 1239 nucleotides. RefSeq lists it as uncharacterized. The transcript is spliced from 3 exons. NCBI's taxonomy places the organism in Eukaryota, Metazoa, Chordata, Actinopteri, Cypriniformes, Cyprinidae. The record is from RefSeq and is a predicted model, not a curated record.
UUCAGGAGGCUAAUUGACAGAGGCCUGACUGAUGUAACAGCUACACAAAUACUAUUUGCUUAAAUGCUGUCAGGUCAAGUAAAUUCGGUGGAGGAGGAUGAAAACAGGGCAGGAUUGACAGGUGCAGGAGAGGGCACAUGGUGUUUCUGCAGACUGUCCAUGUGAAGGAAAGCCUGCAGUGGGCCAAAAUCCAAAUGCACAAUAUUUCCGUUGUGCAAUGGCACAAACACAUGCAGCAGUGGCCUGAUCUGUCGACCCAGUGCUCUCGGCUGUUCGGAAUAAACCAGCUGACCUGUUUACGCAAGCCUCCAUGAGCUCAAAAAGGGGACAAAGGGGAAGCCGAAUCCAUAGGACUGUGUUACUGUUGGGACUGCUGUUGUUUGGGGAUCAUUAGCUCUACCAUUGCCCCACCUUUCCACCGACACUGGAGCCAUUGCACUGGCAUUUCAAAGCUCACAAAACAGGUUAUGACACUGGCUUCAAAAAUAGAGGUUAUUAUUAAUAGUGUUCAUGUGAGGCUGCUGGCAUUGGUUGCAUUGGCCUAUUUCACUCAGCACACUUUAGAGGCACGCAUUUCUUUCAUUCCCAGUAUUAACCAGUUGGGUUAAACUUAAAUUGGGUUGAUAUUUAUUAGCAAUAUCUCUUCAUAUUUAUCAACAUGAUACACUGCAAUGUAAGCUUUUAUAAAGCAACAAAUAAUGUGCUUGUGUUUUGACAACUAGCUACAAUUCAGGGAUUGGUUUUCAUCUAAAUCACUAAAUCUUUUUAACCCAUAUUACAAUAUAUACUUGCAUAUAUGCUAGUUCUGUGACCGAUAUAUUUUGUUUAACCUUUAUAUACAGACACCAGUACAAUGUUCUAUAGUCUUGCCGCAUUAAAUCUCUGUUAUAGACCGAGUGCUCUAGUUCUGCUGUGUUUGUAGUGUUGACCAGGUCAGGGUGUUUCUGAUCAGACAGUCUGGUGUCUCAGGAGAGAUCUAAAUCCCCUCAGUCCAAUCCCUCAUUCUGUCCCGGUGUUUUCUCGCUCUCCCUCUGUGCCAGACUCAUUAUUGAAUAGACUCUUAUGUCAGCUCUGUGUUUGGGACCUGUCUGUCUGCUUCUGUGUCCUCACAAACAAAUUGUGUAACAUCCUCUUUGUUGAAAUGUAAUCUGAAUGUAAUCAGAACAAGGGCUUCGGUGUUAUUAAAGUACAAUGUAUUCAAAGAACACAAGUCGAUGAGACCUGUUCUAUACGAUGCUG